This 440-nucleotide ribosomal RNA is filed under the name uncultured bacterium. RNAcentral describes it as "partial 16S ribosomal RNA". It matches the Rfam family "Bacterial small subunit ribosomal RNA", at positions 338 to 795 of the family's 1533-position model. The record is from RNAcentral.
CCUACGGGAGGCAGCAGUGGGGAAUAUUGCACAAUGGGGGAAACCCUGAUGCAGCGACGCCGCGUGAGUGAUGAAGUAUUUCGGUAUGUUAAGCUCUAUUAGUAGGGAAGUUAAUGACGGUACCUGACUAAUAAGCUCCGGCCAAAUACGUACCAGCAGCCGCGGUAAUACGGAGGGAGCAAGCGUUAUCCGGAUUUACCGGGUGUAAGGGGAGCGCAGAUGGCAGGGCAAGUCCGAGGUGAAAGUCCGGGGCUCAACCCCGGAAUUGCAUUUGAAACUGUCCGGCUAGAGUGCAGGAGAGGUAAGUGGAAUUCCUAGUGUAGCGGUGAAAUGCGUAGAUAUCAGGAGGAACACCGAUUGCGAAGGCGGCUUACUGGACUGUAACUGACGUUGAGGCUCGAAAGCGUGGGGAGCAAACAGGAUUAGAUACCCGUGUAGUC